AAAUUGAAGAGUUUGAUCAUGAAAGCAGAUUGAACGCUGGCGGCAGGCCCCUAACACAUGCAAGUCAACGGUAACAGGAAGCAGCACAACGCUUCGCUGACAGUGGCGGACGGGUGGUAAUGUCUGGGAAACUGCCUGAUGGAGGGGGAUAACUACCUGCUGGAAGCGGUGGCUAUACUGCAUAACGUCGCAAGACCAAGAGGGGACCUUCGGGCACUCUUGCCCAUCAGAUAUUGCCCAGAUGGGAUUAGCUUGUUGGUGAGGUAACGGCUCACCAAGGCGACGAUCUAGCUGGUCUGAGAGGUUGAUGACCUGGAAUUGAGACACGGUCAGACUCCCUACGGGAGGCAGCAGUGGGGAAUAUUGCACAAUGGGCGCAAGCCUGAUGCAACCAUGCCGCGUGUAUGAAGAAGGCCUUUCGGGUUGUAAAGUACUUACUUUCAGCGGGGAGGAAGGUGUUGUGGUUAAUAACCGGCAAUUGACGUUACCCGCAGAAAGCUUUCGGCUAACUCCGUGCCAGCAGCCGCGGCAGCAGGAGGGUGCAAACGUUAAUCAGAAUUACUGGGCGUAAAGCGCACGCAGGCGGUCUGUCAAGUCGGAUGUGAAAUCGGGCUCAACACGGGAACUGCAUUCGAGCUGGCAGGCUUAGUGUAGCAGGGGUAGAAUUCCGGGUGUAGCGGUGAAAUGCGUAGAGAUCUGGAGGAAUACCGGUGGCGAAGGCCCCCACGGACGGGCAACGCUCAGGUGCAGCGUGAGGAAGCAAGCAAGUUAGAUACCACGGUAGUCACGCCGUAAACGAUGUCUGCCGGAGGUUGUGCCCUUGAGGACGUGGCUUCGGAGCUAACGCGUUAAGUAGACCGCACAGGGAAUUACGGCCGCAAGGUUAAAACUCAAAUAAUAAUUGACGGGGGCCCGCACAAGCGGUGGAGCAUGUGGUUUUAAUUCGAUGCAACGCAAAGAAGAACACUUACACCGGUCUUGACAUCCACAGAACUUUCAAGAAGAUGGACUGGUGCCUUCGGGAACUGUGAGACGGGUGCUGCAUGGCUGUCGUCGCUCGUGUUGUGAAAUGUUGGGUUAAGUCCGCAACGGUAACCCUUAUCGCUGUUGCCGCGGUCCGGCAGAACUCAAAGGAGACUGCCAGUGAUAAACUGGAGGGAAGGUGGGGAUGACGUCAAGUCAUCAUGGCCCUUACGACGGGGGCUACACGUGCUACAAUGGCGCAUACAAAGAGAAGCGACCUCGCGAGAGCAAGCGGACCUCGCAGUGCGUCGUAGUCCGGAUUGAGUCUUACGCUCGACUCCAUGAAGUCCGGAAUCUUGUGUCUCGUGGAUCAGAAUGCCACGGUGACGUUCCCGGGCGCUUGUACACACCGCCCGUCACACCAUGGGAGUGGGUUGCAAAAAGUAGGUAGCUUAACCUUCGGCGGGAGGCGCUUGCACCACUUUGUGAUUCAUGACUGGGGUGAAGUCGUAACAAAGGUAACCGUAGGGGAACCUGCGGUUGGAUCACCUCCUUA
Molecule: ribosomal RNA, 1519 nt
Filed under: Salmonella enterica subsp. enterica
Lineage: Bacteria; Pseudomonadati; Pseudomonadota; Gammaproteobacteria; Enterobacterales; Enterobacteriaceae
Description: 16S ribosomal RNA
Rfam family: Bacterial small subunit ribosomal RNA
Source: RNAcentral